Non-coding RNA from Ricinus communis (castor bean), 107 nucleotides. NCBI's taxonomy places the organism in Eukaryota, Viridiplantae, Streptophyta, Magnoliopsida, Malpighiales, Euphorbiaceae. The record is from Rfam.
AGUUCGUGCUGUGGGCAACAUCGGAGCUAGUCUUUACACCUCUCCCAAGCAUCAUACAUGCUUUCGUCAUCGAAUCGCGCAAAAGAAGAUAUAUCAUUUCUCAAUCU